This 484-nucleotide ribosomal RNA is filed under the name uncultured bacterium. RNAcentral's name for it is "partial 16S ribosomal RNA". It matches the Rfam family "Bacterial small subunit ribosomal RNA", at positions 30 to 507 of the family's 1533-position model. The record is from RNAcentral.
AUUGAACGCUGGCGGCAGGCCUAACACAUGCAAGUCGAGCGGAUGAAGGGAGCUUGCUCCUGGAUUCAGCGGCGGACGGGUGAGUAAUGCCUAGGAAUCUGCCUGGUAGUGGGGGAUAACGUCCGGAAACGGGCGCUAAUACCGCAUACGUCCUGAGGGAGAAAGUGGGGGAUCUUCGGACCUCACGCUAUCAGAUGAGCCUAGGUCGGAUUAGCUAGUUGGUGGGGUAAAGGCCUACCAAGGCGACGAUCCGUAACUGGUCUGAGAGGAUGAUCAGUCACACUGGAACUGAGACACGGUCCAGACUCCUACGGGAGGCAGCAGUGGGGAAUAUUGGACAAUGGGCGAAAGCCUGAUCCAGCCAUGCCGCGUGUGUGAAGAAGGUCUUCGGAUUGUAAAGCACUUUAGGUUGGGAGGAAGAGCAGUAAGUUAAUACCUUGCUGUUUUGACGUUACCCACAGAAUAAGCACCGGCUAACUUCGUG